Molecule: long non-coding RNA, 2075 nt
Organism: Strigops habroptila (Kakapo)
Lineage: Eukaryota; Metazoa; Chordata; Aves; Psittaciformes; Psittacidae
Exons: 2
Source: RefSeq, a predicted model, not a curated record
GGGGCCGGGGGAAAGUUGGAGCGAAGGGGCCGGGACCGGGGGCACUUGGUGCGCGGCUCCAGGAGCGGGAGGAGCGGGCGGCGAGGCCCCGGGCCUGUGGGGCCCGAACCGCCAUGGCGGGAGCAGCGCGGCGGGGGAGGGAGCGGGGCGGGCAGCGGUGUCCCGGGCCGGGGCGGAGGGGACGCGGGCAGCGGGGAGACACGGAGCGGGACAAGGAGGAGAGCGGCGGAGGUGACUACGAGGGAGCGACGAAAAUGGGUGUGUUGGCAUCCUCCAGCACCAGAAAUAACCUCCUUGCACCUAUCCUGCUCACUCCAGUCUCUGCUUUCCAAGCCUGGAGAUAACAGAGGGACAGUCAGUACCUCGGGGAAGACUGGCCAAGUUGUUGCAGGUACAAAGCUGCCUGGCGGGUGGCCCGAGGACUUGGAAGCUGCACGUUGCUUUCCAGUAUUUGUUGAGGAGCUUUUGGUACCCUGUGGCUUGUGGCCGUGUCCUUGUGCUGGGACAAGGAGGAGGAAAGUGCUCUGGUGGCACUCCUAGAAGUGCUGCUGAUCAGGGGGUGCUCUUGGGGGGUGCCCUGUGUGUUACCUGAAGAUGUAUGAGAGCAGAAGGGAAGGGCAGAGCUCAAACAAGCCCUAAUCCAGCUCAGUCAGGAGGAAUCGGGGUUCUUUCAAAUCCCAUCUGCCCUCCGAUUUGUGGCCCAUAAAGCCACAGUCAUUCUGCUGAGGUUUGUGCCAUUUAAUGCUUCAUCUCCAAGUUUUCUGCUUGCUUGGUAACAACUCCAGGCACCGCUUUUGAGGUGCAGCCUCCCAAAAUCAUAUCGAAAGAGCUGGAGGUGUCUCCUCCCAUGAGGAACACGCAGAGUGCAGCUAUGGGCUGUGAGAUUUAUCUCUUCCCUUCUGUUCUAUAUUGGUGCUUUAUGACUUUGUCUGAGCUGGAUGUUUUGGAUGACAUUUGCUAAGCACAGCCUUUGCCCACCCUGGAGAGAGGCGUUUUCUACACGUUGGGUUGUCUCAAGGUACUGGUGGGAUUACAGUUGGUUCACAGAGUUAUUUAUAUCAAGGGUUAUUGAUUUACUGGGUAUCUCUUGCAGCAGGAGGGGUUUUGUCUGACAGAAGUUAAAUCUCUGCCUUCUUCCCCAUCACUUCCAGCUGGAUUUUACUUGUCAAGACAAGCCUCAACGUUUCCAAAGCCUCAGAGCAUCUGGCAAAGGGAACCUGAAUUCGUCGGGUUUGCAUUAGAUGUGCUGAGGUUGUUAGUGCUGUGAGCAGCAGUAUCUUGCCUUUAAUAAAGAGCAUGUUUAGGAGUAAACAAUACCCUAAAAUCCCUGCAGUUUAGAAAUGCAAAAGGGGUUUGUUCACAGCAAGGAACCGUGCCACAGAGUCUGAUCAGUUGUUAAUAGGAGCUCAGUGGAUGUAAAAGAUUUCCUGGUGUUUUGAUGCCAUUUUGCCAAUGGGAGCUGCACACAGAGAAACAUUAAACCCCUGAUUGACAGCUGGUUGAAAAUAAACCCACGGUAGCUGCUUUUCCUUUUCUUUCUGUGCUCAAACCACAGGUUUCUGCAUUUUUCAUCGUGACAAACAGAGCUUUCAUCAUCACUGUCAGUGUUGGGUGCCGUAAGCUAAAUCCUCUUUCAUCUUCCUCUCUCUUGGCUUCUGCGCUGAGGAUGCUGCGAUGAUGCUGAGGGAGAUGCAGCAAUUAACUCUCCUCCCGGCUUUAGCUCUGCCCUCAGGCAAGCGGGAGAUGCUGUGGGAAGAGAAGCCGAGAGGAGCCUGCAUCCAGGUUUUUGCUGCAUCCCUGCUGCUGCGCGAGACGCAGCGCAUCCCCGCAUUACCUCCCGCGCCUGGGGAAGCAGGGAUGCUGGAGAUGGGGCUUUGCCAGGGGGAUGGAGCUGGGCCCCGGGUUUUCCUCCUGCCUCAGCGCCGGGUGCCGGGGCCGCGCCGGUGAUGCCGGAGAUGCGGAAUUUUUCAGUUCUGGUGCGGAUGCUGCAGCCGUGGUGAGGUCUCUGUGGCGCAAUGGACGAGCGCGCUGGACUUCUAAUCCAGAGGUUCCGGGUUCGAGUCCCGGCAGAGAUG